AACAAAACCCAGAUCAAGAAAUUGAUUAUAAAGAAAAUUGCAGAUAUGGGUCUGUUUUUGCUUCUGUUCUUGUUGUCGUUGCUUCUGUUCUUGUUGUCGGCUUAGGGUUGUUGCGUGUUGAUUGAAGGCUGUGAGGGCUAAAAAUUUCCUUGUGUUGAGUGAGGUGAAAUGAAGAAACAGAGAGAUGAAAAAUGGUGCAGAUGAAAACUAAAAUUCACAAGUUCAUAACCUAAUUAUUACUUUAUUAAACAUACACCUACACAAGUUGGAGCAUGGGUUUCUUUCAUCAAUUCGAAGCUUAAGAUUAGAGCAUGAAAGUAUCAAAAUUUACAACUUAAUCACUGUUCAUCGAUGCUAAUUAAAUGUGAACAAAAAUUGAAGACAUAAAAUUCUUGGACCGAAUUAAUUGCAAAAUCGCUAUUCAAAAUACAAAGAAUGGAUGAAAAAAGAAGAAGUAAAUUUAAUAAGACACGGGAAGCAAAAUUAAUGAUGGAAUAGAAUGAUUUAUGCAUUAGUUUUGCAACAAAAUUUGUUCAUGGAUUACACAAGUUUUAAAGCAUGGGAAAUUUAAGUAAAAUGGGGAUUGCAAUUAAGUGAUAGAAAUUAUUAUGAUAAUAAAUGUUUAAAAAUUGUGAUUACCUGGUUAAAUUUGUUGCAAAAAGUUGCUUCGAUUGAAGAAGGAGGAGGAGGAGAGAUGAGGGAUAAGAAGAAAAUUUAUUCUUUUUCUAAGAAUUAACCCUUUGAUCAAG
RNAcentral lists this long non-coding RNA (749 nucleotides) under Citrus x clementina. Its description in RNAcentral is "Citrus clementina (C. clementina) long non-coding RNA (CCLE_LNC002508)". The record is from RNAcentral. Lineage: Eukaryota; Viridiplantae; Streptophyta; Magnoliopsida; Sapindales; Rutaceae.